GGUACAGCAACUAAUGAGGAUCCCACGUUCUCUGAAAUGACCUCAAGUUUUCUCUACACAACUGCAUCACAAUUGAUUCUCCUGUCUAAUGGGCGAAGUCCUAGUUUGAACGUGGGGUAAAUUUUCCUAAAAAAUUGUGGAUUUUAAUUACAUUAAGAUUAGAUAUUCUACCUGACUCUACUUACCCACUGUAUCCUAAAUCAAUAUGUGAGCCUAACUGAUUAUGGGGGCAAAAGGCCCUACCCUACUACAAGGAUUCAGG
RNAcentral lists this unclassified non-coding RNA (262 nucleotides) under Hevea brasiliensis (rubber tree). Lineage: Eukaryota; Viridiplantae; Streptophyta; Magnoliopsida; Malpighiales; Euphorbiaceae. The record is from RNAcentral.